This is a non-coding RNA of Macaca mulatta (Rhesus monkey), 958 nucleotides long. NCBI's taxonomy places the organism in Eukaryota, Metazoa, Chordata, Mammalia, Primates, Cercopithecidae. The record is from RefSeq and is a predicted model, not a curated record.
UCAUAUUGAAUUUAAGACACUGUGAUAACAGAUUUUUUUGAAGCAAAAUCCUGUUUUAAGUCUUUGGGUGUAGUACCUUUGCUGACCACUCUCGCGUUUGUAUCUCCCACAUUAUUCCCCACCUCAUUCCCAUUAUGAAACAGUUCACGGUUUGGAGAGCUUGGCCCCACCUCUGGCUCCGAGAUCAAUUCUGAUUGGGUGAAACUAAUCUGAGUAAUCCCCUUCUUCACAGGGGUUUGUCAGAUAACUCAGGCCUGAGCCAAUCACCGUUCUCUGGGACACAGAUUGGACUCUAGGUUAUUUUGUAAGUGUCAUACUCCAGAUUUAUCUGGGAGCAGGAACUCCUUUGGACCUUAAGGAGGAAGCAUGUAGCCGCUGUUAGCUGCUGGCAGCUAUCUUGUGUUCUUGAAGGAAGCUGGCCUGAGGAGGACUCCUCAUACAGAGAGAAACACUGAGAGAUUCACUGAAAAACUGACACGGGAUCCUGAGGGGCCACUCUUGAAGACUUAUCUCUGCACCUUUCUGGGCACUCUGCAUACAGCAAUGGUCAGCAUGGUUCCAGUACUCAGAGAGCUCCAAGGAUUAGUUGAGACCAGAUAAGAAUAUCAAGGAGGCAAGCAGAAGUUACAAUGGGAAAUCAGAAAGAAGACAAAGGAGGGACACCUAAUUCAGAAUGAUGGGUUGCUGGAUAGGAGAGAAAAGGAGACGAAUGGGCAGGUAUCAUUAAAUAUUCCUAUGAAGAAGUUCCUAACUUCUGUUUUUGUGCCAUUGACGCUUUGGCAGUGUGGAGAAACCUAGGGACCCAUUUUCAGAGCAGUGUUUUUAAAUGUGUAAAAUAUUUUAGAUUACAAGGAAAUUUUGAGUAUUGAAAUAGCCAACAAAAUAUGUUAAAAGCAAAUUCGUAAUACAGUAGUAUAUAUGCUUCUUCAUUAACUCAUUAAAGAACAAGACAUAGCAA